UCCUCGAUAGCGAAGCGGCAGAGCUGCGGACUCUAAAUCCGCUGGACCCUUGUUCGAUCCCAGGUCGAGCAG
RNAcentral lists this transfer RNA (72 nucleotides) under Candidatus Tremblayella princeps. RNAcentral's name for it is "Candidatus Tremblaya princeps tRNA-Sup". It matches the Rfam family "tRNA". Rfam says of the family: Transfer RNA (tRNA) molecules are approximately 80 nucleotides in length. Their secondary structure includes four short double-helical elements and three loops (D, anti-codon, and T loops). The record is from RNAcentral. Lineage: Bacteria; Pseudomonadati; Pseudomonadota; Betaproteobacteria.